RNAcentral lists this small RNA (146 nucleotides) under Flavobacterium degerlachei. RNAcentral describes it as "Flavo-1 RNA". It matches the Rfam family "Flavo-1 RNA". The record is from RNAcentral. Lineage: Bacteria; Pseudomonadati; Bacteroidota; Flavobacteriia; Flavobacteriales; Flavobacteriaceae.
UUUUGCCCCAGAUAGCAGUGAAAAGCUUCGAGAAUUAGUAAUCUAUUUUUUUCUUGAGGCGGCAGAGCGACCGGAGGAAGCUCCUGCAGGUUCAUUAGAAAAAAAGAUUGCUAAUCGAGAACUUGCAACGAAUAGCUGGAAUAGGC